RNAcentral lists this unclassified non-coding RNA (344 nucleotides) under soil metagenome. Its description in RNAcentral is "partial contains 5.8S ribosomal RNA, internal transcribed spacer 2, and large subunit ribosomal RNA". The stretch from base 1 to 119 matches the Rfam family "5.8S ribosomal RNA", at positions 35 to 154 of the family's 154-position model. The record is from RNAcentral.
GAUGAAGAACGCAGCGAAAUGCGAUACGUAAUGUGAAUUGCAAAUUCAGUGAAUCAUCGAGUCUUUGAACGCACAUUGCGCCCCCUGGUAUUCCGGGGGGCAUGCCUGUCCGAGCGUCAUUGCUGCCCUCAAGCACGGCUUGUGUGUUGGGCCCCGUCCUCCGAUCCCGGGGGACGGGCCCGAAAGGCAGCGGCGGCACCGCGUCCGGUCCUCGAGCGUAUGGGGCUUUGUCACCCGCUCCGUAGGCCCGGCCGGCGCUUGCCGAUCAACCCAAAUUUUUAUCCAGGUUGACCUCGGAUCAGGUAGGGAUACCCGCUGAACUUAAGCAUAUCAAUAAGCGAGGA